CAGCGGCGGACGGGUGCGUAACACGUGGAUAACCUACCCUACCGGAGGGGGAUACCCCGCAGAAAUGCGGGCUAAGACCGCAUACGACCGGUCUCACACCAGGCGAGACCGGGGAAAGGGCUUUCGGGCGCAAGGCCGGGAGUCUGCCGGAGGAGGGGUCCGCGGCCGAUUAGCUAGUUGGCGGGGUAAGAGCCCACCAAGGCGACGAUCGGUAGCUGGUCUGAGAGGAUGAUCAGCCACACUGGGAUUGAGAACGGCCCAGACUCCUACGGGGGGCAGCAGUGAGGAAUCUUCCGCAAUGGGCGCAAGCCUGACGGAGCGACGCCGCGUGCGGGAUGACGCGUUUCGGCGUGUAAACCGCUUUUCUGCGGGACGAACGUGCUGGGCAACCAGCGGCGGUGGACGGUACCGCAGGAAGCAGCCCCGGCUAACUACGUGCCAGCAGCCGCGGUAAUACGUAGGGGGCGAGCGUUGUCCGGAGUUACUGGGCGUAAAGGGUGCGCAGGCGGCCUGGCAAGUGUGCGGUGAAAGCGCCUGGCUUAACUGGGCGAGGGCCGUGCGGACUGCGAGGCUGGAGGCUCGGAGAGGGACGUGGAAUUCCGGGUGGAGCGGUGAAAUGCAUAGAGAUCCGGAAGAACACCGAUGGCGCAGGCAGCGUCCUGGCCGAGACC
Molecule: ribosomal RNA, 671 nt
Filed under: uncultured bacterium
Lineage: Bacteria
Description: bacterial SSU rRNA
Rfam family: Bacterial small subunit ribosomal RNA
Source: RNAcentral